CCCUUAGAUGUUCUGGGCCGCACGCGUGCUACACUGAGUAAUUCAAUGGGUAAGGGAACGCUAGAGCAUUACCUAAUCUUGAAAUUUGCUCGUGAUGGGGAUCGACGGUUGCAAUUUUCCGUCGUGAACGAGGAAUACCUUGUAGGCGCAUGUCAUCAUCAUGCGCCGAAUACGUCCCUGCCCUUUGUACACACCGCCCGUCGCUCCUACCGAUCGAGUGAUCCGGUGAGGCUCUGGGACCUGGACGGAAAGAGCGUUUCGCUUGUUCUGUUUGGGAAACUUGGUCGAACCUUAUCAUUUAGAGGAAGGAGAAGUCGUAACA
Molecule: ribosomal RNA, 322 nt
Filed under: uncultured eukaryote
Lineage: Eukaryota
Description: partial 18S ribosomal RNA
Rfam family: Eukaryotic small subunit ribosomal RNA
Source: RNAcentral